UGAGGAAUAUUGCGCAAUGGGCGAAAGCCUGACGCAGCGACGCCGCGUGGGGGAAGAAGGUUUUCGGAUUGUAAACCCCUUUUAGGAGGAAAGAUGGGGUGGUUCGCCACCCGGACGGUACCUCCAGAAAAAGCCACGGCUAACUUCGUGCCAGCAGCCGCGGUAAUACGAAGGUGGCGAGCGUUGUUCGGAUUUACUGGGCGUAAAGAGCACGUAGGCGGUUUAGUAAGCCCCUUGGGAAAGCUACGGGCUUAACCCGUAAAGGUCGAGGGGGACUGCUAAGCUAGAGGGCGGGAGAGGAGCGCGGAAUUUCCGGUGUAGCGGUGAAAUGCGUAGAUAUCGGGAAGAAGGCCGGUGGCGAAGGCGGCGCUCUGGAACGUCUCUGACGCUGAGGUGCGAAAGCGUGGGGAGCAAACAGGAUUAGAUACCCCCGUAGUCC
Molecule: ribosomal RNA, 439 nt
Filed under: uncultured prokaryote
Description: bacterial SSU rRNA
Rfam family: Bacterial small subunit ribosomal RNA
Source: RNAcentral